RNAcentral lists this ribosomal RNA (328 nucleotides) under uncultured eukaryote. RNAcentral's name for it is "partial 18S ribosomal RNA". It matches the Rfam family "Eukaryotic small subunit ribosomal RNA", at positions 1470 to 1796 of the family's 1831-position model. The record is from RNAcentral.
CCCUUAGAUGUUCGGAACUGCACGCGCGCUACACUGAAGGAAGCAGCGUGUUAGAGCGCCUGGCUUGAAAGAGCUGGGUAAUCCGGUGAAUGUCCUUCGUGAUUGGGAUAGGGACUUGUAAUUAUUUCCCUUGAACGAGGAAUACCUAGUAAGUGCGAGUCAUCAGCUUGCGCUGACUACGUCCCUGCCCCUUGUACACACCGCCCGUCGCUACUACUGAUUGGGUGUUCAAGUGAGAUGCUUAGACCCUUGUUGCAUGGUUCAUUAUUGUGCUCCGAAAGGAAAAAGUUCCAAGCUCGAGUGUCUAGAGGAAGUAAAAGUCGUAACA